UUUUUUUUCUAUGUUUGAUUGUUUGAUUCGAUUGAAUCCCAGAAUCCGAAAAUGCUUAGCUAUGGAGAAACCAAGAGGUAUGCUUCAAAUCAUCAGCGUAACGCUGAUUGGAACACAAAUCACACCCGAUGUAACAUGAAGGUUUCAAGCCCUUAUAGACAACAUUUCUCACAUUCGUAAAUGACCAAUUAGAUGACCAGAUUCUCAAUCGAAAUCCCAAAGCAGGACAUUCGUUCUUUCUCUUGUUCUUGAUGGCAUUGUAAUGGAAUAACUAACCUAUUUCUUCGCCUUUUCGCCAACAGAUCUGAAUUAUCUUGAAAAAAAUAGAGGGAUAGAUAAAAUUCCAAGGGCGUUGGAUGGCGUUUCUCAACAUCUCUCGCGUGCAAAUGCAAACAGGAAAAGUUACAGCAGGUGACAAAUAAGACUGCAAGGCAAAAGGCAAAGAUAGCAGGUGACAAUUAGAUGAUCAGAAGAUGACAUUACAGCAGGUGACAAAUAAGACUGCAAGGCAAAAGGCAAACAUAGACAGCAGGUGGCAAUUAGAUGAUCAGAAGAUGACAUCGUUCGCUAUUAGACACAUAUAUGAUAUAAUCAUUUUCCAAAAAAGAGAUAUAAUCAUGAUAUUUAGCUCCUUCAGAAGGCACUAGCUGAUGAACAUUCAGAAUGCAAAAACUGGAAAGGUGAACAACCAAAAUGAUUUUCUAGGCUCCAUAUACAGUAGUUCUAGUCAAUGUCCAGAUUCCAAAUAGAUGUUUGUUCACUCACACAGGUUCCACACAUCACAUGGUUACAUCCAUUUACCUAGUUUAGAGUGUUCUAGAUAUGGUGAUGGCUGCAUGUCAUGAUUUCUGUUAUGGCUAUUCAAUAUCUUCAGUCACACCGAACACAAAUUUCUGCAGUCCACAAAGGUCCCCAAAAUUGAGCGUGAUUUUGGCAAAGAGGGAAUAUACAACAUCAGAAGAAAAUACAGCAAUACAAAAGGAGCUAAAAAGAAGGGGGAAAUGCCAAAUGGUAGGCAACUGAUCUACUACUAACACAAGAUAAACCUGAUGAACCGGUGACAAGUCUGUCAACAAGUCAUAUGGCACUGGCUGUUUGAACAAAUCAUGCAGCUGCUGCGACAGCAAACUGGUCCUGGACGUUGCAACGCUCCGCAUGGUUUAUAGGUGCUGCCAACAAUAGUUUUUGGUAGGUAUUGCUGAUGCCAUGGCAGCAGUGCCAGCAUCUCGCCCUGUGCUUUUGUGG
RNAcentral lists this long non-coding RNA (1245 nucleotides) under Triticum aestivum (bread wheat). Its description in RNAcentral is "long non-coding RNA (TAES_LNC010013)". The record is from RNAcentral. Lineage: Eukaryota; Viridiplantae; Streptophyta; Magnoliopsida; Poales; Poaceae.